This 104-nucleotide small RNA is filed under the name Marmota monax (woodchuck). The record is from RNAcentral. Lineage: Eukaryota; Metazoa; Chordata; Mammalia; Rodentia; Sciuridae.
GCCAGAUGUGGUGGUGCACACCUGUAAUCCCAGCUACUUGGGAAGCUGAGGCAGAAGGAUUAUAAGUCCAAGGCCAACUUGGGCAACUCUAGUCCCCGUCUCAA